Molecule: ribosomal RNA, 253 nt
Filed under: uncultured bacterium
Lineage: Bacteria
Description: partial 16S ribosomal RNA
Rfam family: Bacterial small subunit ribosomal RNA
Source: RNAcentral
UACGUAGGGUGCGAGCGUUAAUCGGAAUUACUGGGCGUAAAGUGUGCGCAGGCGGCAGAGCAAGUCGAGUGUGAAAGCCCCGGGCUUAACUUGGGAAUUGCGCUCGAAACUACUUUGCUGGAGUGUGGCAGAGGAAGGUGGAAUUCCACGUGUAGCGGUGAAAUGCGUAGAGAUGUGGAGGAAUACCGAUGGCGAAGGCAGCCCCCUGGGAUAACACUGACGCUCAUGCACGAAAGCGUGGGGAGCAAACAGG